CCUACGGGAGGCAGCAGUGGGGAAUAUUGCGCAAUGGGCGAAAGCCUGACGCAGCGACGCCGCGUGAGGGAUGAAGGCCCUCGGAUCGUAAACCUCCGUUAGCAGGGAAGUACCGUCACUGUGCUAAUCAGCAGUGAAUUGACGGUACCUGCAAAGGAAGCACCGGCUAACUCCGGGCCAGCAGCCGCGGUAAUAGGGAGGGUGCGUGCGUUAAUCGGAAUUACUGGGCGUAAAGCGCUCGUAGGUGGUAUGUCAAGUCAAGGGUGAAAUCCCCGGGCUCAACGGGGGAACUGCCUUUGAGACUGGCAGACUGGAGUGUGUGAGAGGAUGGUGGAAUUCCAGGUGUAGGAGUGAAAUGCGUAGAUAUCUGGAGGAACAUCGAUGGCGAAGGCAGCUAACUGGCACAUAACUGACGCUGAGGAGCGAAAGCGUGGGUAGCAAACAGGAUUAGAUACCCCUGUAGUC
This 465-nucleotide ribosomal RNA is filed under the name uncultured bacterium. Its description in RNAcentral is "partial 16S ribosomal RNA". It matches the Rfam family "Bacterial small subunit ribosomal RNA", at positions 338 to 795 of the family's 1533-position model. The record is from RNAcentral.